GACGAACGCUGGCGGCGUGCCUAAUACAUGCAAGUGGAACGCACGAGGUACACCGUAGUUUACUACACCGUACUUUGUGAGUCGCGAACGGGUGAGUAACGCGUAGGUAACCUACCUUUUAGCGGGGGAUAACUAUUGGAAACGAUAGCUAAUACCGCAUAAGAUAUCUUACUGCAUGGUAAGAUAUUAAAAGAUGCAAUUGCAUCACUAAGAGAUGGACCUGCGUUGUAUUAGCUAGUAGGUGAGGUAACGGCUCACCUAGGCAACGAUACAUAGCCGACCUGAGAGGGUGAUCGGCCACACUGGGACUGAGACACGGCCCAGACUCCUACGGGAGGCAGCAGUAGGGAAUCUUCGGCAAUGGGGGGAACCCUGACCGAGCAACGCCGCGUGAGUGAAGAAGGUUUUCGGAUCGUAAAGCUCUGUUGUAAGAGAA
RNAcentral lists this ribosomal RNA (436 nucleotides) under Streptococcus sinensis. RNAcentral's name for it is "bacterial SSU rRNA". It matches the Rfam family "Bacterial small subunit ribosomal RNA", at positions 28 to 446 of the family's 1533-position model. Lineage: Bacteria; Bacillati; Bacillota; Bacilli; Lactobacillales; Streptococcaceae. The record is from RNAcentral.